Molecule: non-coding RNA, 73 nt
Organism: Podarcis lilfordi (Lilford's wall lizard)
Lineage: Eukaryota; Metazoa; Chordata; Lepidosauria; Squamata; Lacertidae
Source: the annotation of a GenBank genome assembly
UCUUCUUAGCUCAGUUGAUAGAGCAUGAGAUUCUUAAUCUCAGGGCCACGGGUUCAAGCUCCACCUUGGAGAA